RNAcentral lists this ribosomal RNA (253 nucleotides) under uncultured bacterium. Its description in RNAcentral is "partial 16S ribosomal RNA". It matches the Rfam family "Bacterial small subunit ribosomal RNA", at positions 524 to 776 of the family's 1533-position model. The record is from RNAcentral.
UACGUAGGUGGCAAGCGUUGUCCGGAAUUACUGGGUGUAAAGCGCGUGUAGGCGGGAGGCCAAGUCUGUGGUGAAAGCCCCCGGCUCAACUGGGGAGGGUCACGCGAUACUGAUCGACUCGAAGGCAGGAGAGGGAAGUGGAAUUCCCGGUGUAGUGGUGAAAUGCGUAGAUAUCGGGAGGAACACCAGUGGCGAAGGCGACUUCCUGGCCUGUUCUUGACGCUGAGGCGCGAAAGCUAGGGGAGCAAACGGG